Molecule: long non-coding RNA, 365 nt
Filed under: Salmo salar (Atlantic salmon)
Lineage: Eukaryota; Metazoa; Chordata; Actinopteri; Salmoniformes; Salmonidae
Description: lncRNA (ENSSSAG00000089472.1)
Source: RNAcentral
CGGGUCUAGACUUGUUAUUGCUUGUUUAGCAGAUGGGGAUUUCUGAAACUUACUCCUCAGGACUUGAACUCCAUUGAAAACCUGUGGCUUGAAUUGAAGAGGGCAGUCCAUCAGUGCAGACAUCCAAGAUGUACCACCAUAUUUGACAGUAGACCACCACAUCCUUCCACAACCUAACCUUCCUACCUGCCUUUCAAGCUCCAACUCCUAAACCUUAAUCAACAUCCAUUCCAAACCCUUCCCUAUGAAUUCUGUGUUCCUGUUCCACUGUGUAUUAAAUACCCUAAACCUAGAUUCCUAAUCUCCCUCCCCUCAUUGCAUUUUGACCGAUGCGCCAUGUUGGCAGCAGAAAUCCUUAACCAGUC